CUCGGAAGAGACCGAGCCCCAGGGCCGCCGUGCCCUCUGGGUGGUUGUGAGGCUGUGCAGGCAGCGGCUUCUGCCCUCUUUCUUUCCCUGACUUAUUGGGUCCGGCCUCCGAGGCCUGUACCCCGCCUUUUCCGCACAGGCAUGUGACCAGGGUCUCCCGCGGAGUUUUGCUGAAAAUUUUGGAAAUGAAGCACGUGGAGCGCCUGUGUCGGGGGAGAGAGGCCGAGAUGAAGGAGCACGGGCGCCGGCCUCAGCCUCUGGGGAGCCGGGCCCGCUCGCCUCCCUGCGCGGGGCUAGCCCGAGCCUGGAACUCAGGAGGCCCAGGAGCGAAGUGAAAGCCCGUUCUGGUCCCCCAGGGCUCCACUCCCGCAGCAGCCCGGCUCCAUCGGCGUCAGUGGAGCCCCAGGCCUGGGUCCGAGAUGAGCGAGACGCUGCCCUGGCUCGCGGUCGCCCGAGCGCUCCCAAAACCAGGGAACAGGUCUCAGGAGAGAAGCCCCUGGAAGUUUCCUGGAGCAGGGAAUCUCCACGAUCUUGUGAGCUCUGCAAAGGAAUCUGGACUUUAUUCGGAGGGCCUUGGAGAACCCCUGCAAAGUUUUUUGAAAGGUGGACUAAGAGAUUGGCAUUUCACAACAUGAUUCUCCGAAUUGAAACACUAAUAAGAGAAGAUUGGCAAAAUUUAACAUUUACAGAUUAGUAAUUUAACCCAGGUGACCCGCGAUGAGGGACAUGGCUACCCUUCACUUUUGGAGGAAGUUUUAAGUGAUACAGAUCUUUUUGCCAAGCAAUAUUUUUUUUUGAGAGGGAGCCUCGCUCUGUCGCCCUGGCUGGAGUGCAAUGACGUGAUCUCGGCUCACUGCAACUUCCGCCUCCUGAGUUCAAGCGAUUCUCCUGCCUCAGCCUCACCUAGUAGCUGGGAUUACAGGCGCGCGCCACCAGGCCCGGCUAAUUUUUUUGUAUUUUUAGUAGAGACAGGGUUUCACCAUGUUGGCCAGGCUGGUCUCGAACUCCUGACCUCAGGUGAUCCGCCUGCCUGGACCUCGCAAAGUGUUGAGAUUAACAGGCGUGAGCCACUGCGCCCAGCAGCAAUUUAAAGAUCUAAUAAAAUUGUGUAUAUCCCCCAAAACAAUAAUGUCACUUCUUGGUUGAUAGCCACGUUUGUUUACAAAGGCAUGUGCCAAGAUUUUCACUGCAGCUUUGUCAGCAUUGCUAGAAGAUUUAAAACCCGAACACUUAAUGUUCAUGAAUUGAUAAGCUGUUUAACAGUGAUAUACACGUAAUAUAGAAUAUUAUGCAGCAUGCCGGGCGCGGUAGCUCACGCAUGUAAUCCCAGCAUUUUGGGAGGCCGAGGUGGGUGGAUCACCUGAGGUCAGGAGUUCGCACGAGCAGCCGGAGCAACAUGCGAAACCCCGUCUCUACAAAAAAAAUUCAAAAACUAGCCAGACGUGGUGGCACACGCCUGUAAUCCCAGCACUUUGGGAGGCUGAGGUGGGAAAAUCACUUGAGCUCAGAAGGCAGAGGUUGCGGCUAGUGGAGAUCUGCACUACAGCUUGGACACCAAGCUGCCACCAAGGUGCUUGGUCCUUCCGAGGAAGCUAAGGCCACGUUGGGGUGAGGCCAUCACUUCAUCCAGCGACUAGCGCCGCCUCUGGCAACGCCAGCCCCACACUCGCCCACGCCAUGGCCACCAUCUCCAAGCUUGCCUGCAUCUACUUGGCCCUCAUUCUGCACGACGAUGAGGUGAUCGUCAUGGAGGUUAAUAUCAAUACCCUCAUUAAAGCAGCCAGUGUAAAUGUUGAACCUUUUGGCCUGGCUUGUUUGCAAAGGCUCUGGCCAACGUCAACAUUGGAAGCCUCAUCUGCAAUGUAGGGGCUGGUGGACCUGCUCUAGCAGCUGGUGCUGCACCAGCAGGAGGUCCUGCCCCCUCCAUUGCUGCUGCUUCAGCUAAGGAGAAGAAAAUGGAAGCAAAGAAAGAAGAAUCUGAGGAGUAUGAUGAUGACAUGGGAUUUGGUCUUUUUAACUAAACCUGUUUUAUGAUGUGUUCAAUAAAAAGCUGAACUUUA
Molecule: RNA transcript, 2060 nt
Organism: Pongo pygmaeus (Bornean orangutan)
Lineage: Eukaryota; Metazoa; Chordata; Mammalia; Primates; Hominidae
Gene name: large ribosomal subunit protein P1-like
Exons: 3
Source: RefSeq, a predicted model, not a curated record